CCCUUCCUUCCCAUCCUUAUCUCUUUCUUGUCCUCCUCCUCUCCUCUCUCCUUCUCAUCGACAUUCCCUCUCUCCUUCUCAUCCACAUUUCCUCUUCAUUUUCUUCCUUAUUUAAGCCCACUUAUGAGCCCUACCUCUCUACGAUGAUCUCCUUUAUAUCUAUCUCUUCUUACUGGCAACCUAUCAUUUCUUCUCUCUUUUCUCCUCAUUCAUUUUUUCUCCUCCAUGACGGCUCUCUCAACCUCCAUCCAUUCCUCCAUCUCCUCCCCUUCUUCCUCAUUCUCCUUCUUCAAGCUGCCCAUAACUCAUCUCCCUCCAUGGUGAUCCUUUCCACCUCCAUCUAUUUUUAUCGGCAAUCCAUCCUUUCCUCUGCCAUUCUUCCUAAUUCUCUAGUUCUCUU
RNAcentral lists this long non-coding RNA (400 nucleotides) under Elaeis guineensis (African oil palm). RNAcentral's name for it is "long non-coding RNA (EGUI_LNC029165)". The record is from RNAcentral. Lineage: Eukaryota; Viridiplantae; Streptophyta; Magnoliopsida; Arecales; Arecaceae.